UACGUAGGGUGCAAGCGUUGUCCGGAAUUAUUGGGCGUAAAGAGCUCGUAGGCGGUUUGUUGCGUCGGCUGUGAAAUCCCGAGGCUCAACCUCGGGUCUGCAGUCGAUACGAGCAAACUAGAGUGUUGCAGGGGAGACUGGAAUUCCUGGUGUAGCGGUGAAAUGACGCAGAUAUCAGGAGGAACACCGGUGGCGAAGGCGGGACUCUGGGCCGAUACUGACGCUGAGGAGCGAAAGCGUGGGGAGCAAACAGG
This 254-nucleotide ribosomal RNA is filed under the name uncultured bacterium. RNAcentral's name for it is "partial 16S ribosomal RNA". It matches the Rfam family "Bacterial small subunit ribosomal RNA", at positions 524 to 776 of the family's 1533-position model. The record is from RNAcentral.